UAACGCAGGCAAUCCGUCCGGGGGGUUUAAAGGGUGUUGGGCUUGUCUCGUGGGCCGGUAGCUCAGCCUGGGAGAGCGCCGGCUUUGCAAGCCGGAGGCCCCGGGUUCAAAUCCCGGCCGGUCCACCACGAAGAGUGCAGCUCUCGAGCAAAGCUCGAGGGUGAAGGGUCCGAGGGAGUGAAUAAC
RNAcentral lists this transfer RNA (186 nucleotides) under Palaeococcus helgesonii. RNAcentral describes it as "16S-23S intergenic spacer". The stretch from base 52 to 125 matches the Rfam family "tRNA". The record is from RNAcentral. Lineage: Archaea; Methanobacteriati; Methanobacteriota; Thermococci; Thermococcales; Thermococcaceae.